Molecule: ribosomal RNA, 262 nt
Filed under: uncultured archaeon
Lineage: Archaea
Description: partial 16S ribosomal RNA
Rfam family: Archaeal small subunit ribosomal RNA
Source: RNAcentral
UAGCCGUAAACGAUACUCGCUAGGUGUCGGCCACGGUGCGACCGUUGUCGGUGCCGUAGGGAAGCCGUGAAGCGAGCCACCUGGGAAGUACGGCCGCAAGGCUGAAACUUAAAGGAAUUGGCGGGGGAGGCACAACAACGGGUGGAGCUUGCGGUUUAAUUGGAUUCAACGCCGGAAAUCUUACCGGGACCGACAGCAACAUGAAGGCCAAGCUGAAGACUUUGCCGGAUUAGCUGAGAGGAGGUGCAUGGCGUAGUCGUGU